GUCCACGCCCUAAACGAUGUCAACUGGUUGUUGGGAAUUCACUUUCUCAGUAACGAAGCUAACGCGUGAAGUAGACCGCCUGGGGAGUACGGUCGCAAGAUUAAAACUCAAAGGAAUUGACGGGGACCCGCACAAGCGGUGGAUGAUGUGGAUUAAUUCGAUGCAACGCGAAAAACCUUACCUAGCCUUGACAUGUCGAGAAUUCUGAAGAGAUUUGGAAGUGCCCGCAAGGGAACUCGAACACAGGUGCUGCAUGGCUGUCGU
This 264-nucleotide ribosomal RNA is filed under the name uncultured bacterium. RNAcentral describes it as "partial 16S ribosomal RNA". It matches the Rfam family "Bacterial small subunit ribosomal RNA", at positions 793 to 1055 of the family's 1533-position model. The record is from RNAcentral.